GUAGGUUACAGUAGGUUGUAUCUCUCUAGGUAAUGCCAGUAGGUUACAGUUGUAUCCAAGUGGUUGUAUCUCUUUAGGUCAUGCCAGUAGGCUACAGUAGGUUGUAACUCUCUAGGCCAUGCCAGUAGACUACAGUAGGUGGCCAGGCUAGGGUAGGUUGUAUCUCUCUAGGUCAUGCCAGUAGGUUACAGUAGGUUGUAUCUCUCUCAGUCAUGCCAGUAGGUUACAGUAGGUUGUAUCUCUCUCGGUCAUUCCAGGAGGUUACAGUAGGUUUUAUCGCUCUAGAUCAUGCCAGUAGGUUACAGUAGGUUG
This is a non-coding RNA of Oncorhynchus mykiss (rainbow trout), 312 nucleotides long. Lineage: Eukaryota; Metazoa; Chordata; Actinopteri; Salmoniformes; Salmonidae. The record is from RefSeq and is a predicted model, not a curated record.